GUUUAGCAAUGUGAAUCUUGAUUCACAUCAGAGAAGACGUUAUAAGUGCUAAAUAUUUGCAUUAAGUUGGUUUUAAAGUAAAUUUACGAAUAAAUAUAGAUUGAAAAGGAUUAACACCAAUUUCUAGUAACGAAUCUAGCUUAAUUUUUAAGCAUAAUUUAACAAAUUCCAAGAAAGGAGAAAUCAUAAUCACGUAGUGUUGCAAAGAGUUUAUUUAAACAGUCGAGUACCAUUGUCAUCUUGGCUGAAUACCUUUUGAAGUCAGUGCCAGACUGAUGAGGAAUUUUAAGGUUCCAGCUAUGAAUCGGCAUCAGCUAGUCGUGCUGAGUGUGUGCAUAGCGCUGGCGCAAGCCGCCUGGAUUGAUGAAAUUGACGAAGACGAUGUAGAUCUCACUCCAGUAAAACCCAAUAAACCGUGCAAGAAACUAAUUGAUGGACAAGAACUACAAGAAGGCGUUUGCGUCCACGAAAGCAUGUGCGAAGAUUUUGUGAUCCCACCAGUGACCAGUGAACUCCAUAUUAUGCCCUGUCCAGGCCGUUUUGACUGGUGUUGCCUGUCCCCAAAAAUGGCAUCCACGGAGACAAGUACAGAUCUAAACCUACCAACCACAGGGAAGCAAUGACGCUGAGGGAACCAACCUGUCUAAAUAAAACUAUUUUCGAUUUCAUUACAAGCUGGAGCAUAUAAGUACAAUAAAGAUUUCCUUCUUUUGUAGAUUUUAGAGUUGUUACAUUUAGUAUUAGACAAAUCUUUAAUUUCAGGUCACCUAUACUGAUAU
Cydia fagiglandana is the source of this 779-nucleotide long non-coding RNA. RefSeq lists it as uncharacterized. NCBI's taxonomy places the organism in Eukaryota, Metazoa, Arthropoda, Insecta, Lepidoptera, Tortricidae. The transcript has 4 exons. The record is from RefSeq and is a predicted model, not a curated record.